This 618-nucleotide ribosomal RNA is filed under the name Vibrio sp. RNAcentral describes it as "bacterial SSU rRNA". It matches the Rfam family "Bacterial small subunit ribosomal RNA", at positions 75 to 683 of the family's 1533-position model. The record is from RNAcentral. Lineage: Bacteria; Pseudomonadati; Pseudomonadota; Gammaproteobacteria; Vibrionales; Vibrionaceae.
CUUCGGGUGCAGUUAAUGGGCGUCGAGCGGCGGACGGGUGAGUAAUGCCUAGGAAAUUGCCUUGAUGUGGGGGAUAACCAUUGGAAACGAUGGCUAAUACCGCAUAAUGCCUACGGGCCAAAGAGGGGGAUCUUCGGACCUCUCGCGUCAAGAUAUGCCUAGGUGGGAUUAGCUAGUUGGUGAGGUAAUGGCUCACCAAGGCGACGAUCCCUAGCUGGUCUGAGAGGAUGAUCAGCCACACUGGAACUGAGACACGGUCCAGACUCCUACGGGAGGCAGCAGUGGGGAAUAUUGCACAAUGGGCGAAAGCCUGAUGCAGCCAUGCCGCGUGUAUGAAGAAGGCCUUCGGGUUGUAAAGUACUUUCAGUUGUGAGGAAGGGGGUAACGUUAAUAGCGUUAUCUCUUGACGUUAGCAACAGAAGAAGCACCGGCUAACUCCGUGCCAGCAGCCGCGGUAAUACGGAGGGUGCGAGCGUUAAUCGGAAUUACUGGGCGUAAAGCGCAUGCAGGUGGUUCAUUAAGUCAGAUGUGAAAGCCCGGGGCUCAACCUCGGAACUGCAUUUGAAACUGGUGAACUANAGUGCUGUAGAGGGGGGUAGAAUUUCANGUGUAGCGGAG